Molecule: ribosomal RNA, 274 nt
Filed under: uncultured bacterium
Lineage: Bacteria
Description: partial 16S ribosomal RNA
Rfam family: Bacterial small subunit ribosomal RNA
Source: RNAcentral
AUACGGAGGGUGCAAGCGUUACACGGAAUCACUGGGCGUAAAGCGCGCGCAGGCGGCUAUUUAAGUUGGAUGUGAAAGCCUAUGGCUCAACCAUAGAACUGCAUCCAAAACUAUUUAGCUAGAGUGUGGGAGAGGAAGAUGGAAUUAGUUGUGUAGGAGUAAAAUCCGUAGAGAUAACUAGGAAUACCAAAAGCGAAGGCAAUCUUCUGGAACACUACUGACGCUGAGGCGCGAAAGCGUGGGGAGCAAACAGGAUUAGAAACCCUAGUAGUCC